Ipomoea triloba (trilobed morning glory) is the source of this 1370-nucleotide RNA transcript. RefSeq lists it as uncharacterized. The transcript has 4 exons. Lineage: Eukaryota; Viridiplantae; Streptophyta; Magnoliopsida; Solanales; Convolvulaceae. The record is from RefSeq and is a predicted model, not a curated record.
CUCCAAGCUUUCAUCCGCAGUCCGCACCACUUCCAUACAGAUCACAGAAUUCGAUCUCUUUCCAAAACCUCACCGCAUCUAUCGCUGCAAAUGGCUCUAUCGGCUGGCACUGUGAUUCUCUCGAUGAAAACUCUGUUAAUUUCUGCAGGCACAGUGUCUCUGUUGAUGGCAAUGAGGUCUGUUCUUCCGUUGCUCCUCUUUGAUUUCCGGAUGAUUUGGGGCGUGUUCAUGGCGUGGCUCAGGCCUCCUUACCUUUACUUCGUCAUCAACGGAAUCAUCCUCGCCAUUGUAUUCGCCUCUCGUUUCCAGCACGAACGCCUCGAGAAGCAGCUCUCCGGUCAGUUACAGCCGUUGAUUACUGUCAGGACGCCUCCGCCUGCCGAGUUGGUUGCGUUUGCUCAGCCAGAGUACAAAUCGGUCGUGGAAGAGUCGUUUAGGGCGGCGUUCGGAGACGAACCACCGGAGGAGCUGGAUUUGAAGCCAGUGGUGGUUAACGGUUCUAUGGUGGAUUUGAAUGAAGAGAAAUUAGCUGAAGAUGAUGCGAUUGCUGAGGAGGUUAAGGAAGUGCUUAAUCCUGCCCUGGAUCCGCCGCCGGAGCCUGAAACCGAACUGCUUCCGUCACUUGCGGCGGAAAAACCGCUCGUUUCGACACGUUUCGCUCACCGUAAACCGUCCGUGAGAGCAAGUCCAGAAGGUUCAAGAGGUUUGAGAGUGUCGAGGCCGAAGAAGCAGGAGACACUGGAGACUACAUGGAGAAUGAUUACAGAAGGCCGCCACGUGCCGCUCACGAGGCACCUCAGGAAAUCCGAUGCCCUUGAGAACCAGAGCCGCCACAUAACCGCCGCGGAUGGCGUCGUGAACCCUACUCAUCAGCCGCCGCGCAACGGGGAGUCACCGAAAGCGGCGCCGACGCAUUCGUCUCGCAGCGCGUGGAUCAUGCGGAAAGAGCCGUCUCUGAGUCAGGACGAGUUGAACCGGCGAGUUGAAGCGUUCAUAAAGAAGUUCAACGAGGAAAUGAGGAUACAGAGACAACAGUCGUUACAGCAGUACAUGGAGAUGAUCAACCGUGGGGCCAAUUAGGGGAUUCAAAGAACGUGUGUGUGAAAGGAGUAGUGGUCUUGGGAGCUGCAAAGGAGUCGGUGCAGUUUUUUUGUAGCCUACAAAUUGUUGGUCGACUUGGAGUCAAAAUUUUCGGCAUUAUGGACCAUGCUGGAUUAAUCGUAAAGCUCAUUGACUCCAUCCUUUUCUAAGGCUACCUGGCCCAUAGUGACAGGUUGCUACUUGAUUUUUCCUUGGGCACCUCAGAUGAAUGGAUGUUUAUGAUGAAUACAUCUUCAAACGUUUAAAAAAUAUGUUUUAAAAUUUUAAAA